CCCUUAGAUGUUCUGGGCCGCACGCGUGCUACACUGAGUAAUUCAAUGGGUAAGGGAACGCUAGAGCAUUACCUAAUCUUGAAAUUUGCUCGUGAUGGGGAUCGACGGUUGCAAUUUUCCGUCGUGAACGAGGAAUACCUUGUAGGCGCAUGUCAUCAUCAUGCGCCGAAUACGUCCCUGCCCUUUGUACACACCGCCCGUCGCUCCUACCGAUUGAGUGAUCCGGUGAGGCACUGGGACCUGGACGGAAAGAGCGUUUCGCUUGUUCUGUUUGGGAAACUUGGUCGAACCUUAUCAUUUAGAGGAAGGAGAAGUCGUAACA
Molecule: ribosomal RNA, 322 nt
Filed under: uncultured eukaryote
Lineage: Eukaryota
Description: partial 18S ribosomal RNA
Rfam family: Eukaryotic small subunit ribosomal RNA
Source: RNAcentral